Molecule: ribosomal RNA, 607 nt
Filed under: Salmonella enterica subsp. enterica serovar Derby
Lineage: Bacteria; Pseudomonadati; Pseudomonadota; Gammaproteobacteria; Enterobacterales; Enterobacteriaceae
Also listed under: 1 other name
Description: partial 23S ribosomal RNA
Rfam family: Bacterial large subunit ribosomal RNA
Source: RNAcentral
UGGUGGGUAGUUUGACUGGGGCGGUCUCCUCCUAAAGAGUAACGGAGGAGCACGAAGGUUGGCUAAUCCUGGUCGGACAUCAGGAGGUUAGUGCAAUGGCAUAAGCCAGCUUGACUGCGAGCGUGACGGCGCGAGCAGGUGCGAAAGCAGGUCAUAGUGAUCCGGUGGUUCUGAAUGGAAGGGCCAUCGCUCAACGGAUAAAAGGUACUCCGGGGAUAACAGGCUGAUACCGCCCAAGAGUUCAUAUCGACGGCGGUGUUUGGCACCUCGAUGUCGGCUCAUCACAUCCUGGGGCUGAAGUAGGUCCCAAGGGUAUGGCUGUUCGCCAUUUAAAGUGGUACGCGAGCUGGGUUUAGAACGUCGUGAGACAGUUCGGUCCCUAUCUGCCGUGGGCGCUGGAGAACUGAGGGGGGCUGCUCCUAGUACGAGAGGACCGGAGUGGACGCAUCACUGGUGUUCGGGUUGUCAUGCCAAUGGCACUGCCCGGUAGCUAAAUGCGGAAGAGAUAAGUGCUGAAAGCAUCUAAGCACGAAACUUGCCCCGAGAUGAGUUCUCCCUGAGACUUUAGGUCUCCUGAAGGAACGUUGAAGACGACGACGUUGAUAGG